Long non-coding RNA from Amphibalanus amphitrite, 1811 nucleotides. RefSeq lists it as uncharacterized. The transcript is spliced from 2 exons. NCBI's taxonomy places the organism in Eukaryota, Metazoa, Arthropoda, Thecostraca, Balanomorpha, Balanidae. The record is from RefSeq and is a predicted model, not a curated record.
UUGAGUGCGUAGGACUUGUACCUUAUGUCUUCAUGAACGCACUUCCGAACAGUCUUCUCAUCCACGUUCAGCUCCCGAGCCAGACACCGCAUUGAUUUGCCAGGAUCUUCAUCAAUCGCGUUCUGAAGCUGCUCGACGAACUCCGGAGUCCUGGUGGAAUCUCGCCUCCUCUUGUGGGUCUUCCUUUGUAACGAAACUUCAUCGUGGUUCUCUCCACCCGCCACCCUUUCAUCAAACUCCUUCUUAAUUCGAUAGCACAGGCUCCUGGGCAACUUGUUGAACUCUUGUAACGAAAUUCGUUCCUACCCCGUCCUCCACUUCCCUCUGUACCUACUUACUGCCCAACCCCCUCGCCCACUUACAAUAUCCUUAUAUGGUCCUCACUCCUCACCUGCGACGCCUGUCCUCGCCCGCUUCUGAUUGGUGCUAUGAUAUGACGUACAUCUAUAUGUAUGACGUGUGUGUAUGACGUUUGAAUAUAGCGGCCGACGCCGAACGCCGAGCAGGAGCUGUGAAAGAUUCAUUCGAAAGCCAACCGCCGUAGUGGCCUGACGUAUCGUUAUUCAAAGUCUCGGCCGACUGUUUAUUACUUUUGUAUUCAAUCGUCAAAUUUGCAAUACAUACUUGAAGAAAAGAAAACCGUGUUGGUUAUACGGCUCGAACAAGAGGCCCCAAAACAGACUAUCACAGAAGAAGAAAUUGUUUAUUUACUUUUUACAUUUGUUACAAAUGGUGCCGUGACCCGGAUCUAAAUAAAAAAACUCAAGAAUUGAAAUUGGUUCCGCAAGAAAUUGCUCUACAAGUCUACGAACAAGAUGUGGGCAAGACCGUUCUUCCUGACAUUCCUGUUCUAUCUGACAUCUCCGACAACGGCCAACGUUCUCUUCCUGCCCCGAGGCCAUCUCUACGCUUCAUACGACCACUGGACUCUUCACAUCCCCAUCGAAACCAGGACAUCAUGGACGUUUGUAUUGAAGCUGGAGCAUCAUGUGAAGCUCUUUAAAAGUAAAGUCAGUAGUAUAUUUGCAGAGCACCGCCAACAAUUGCGAAGUGACCAGGCAAUUCAGCUUUUUGCUAAGUUUAACCAGAGCGUAAAAGUUAUUGACAUUGUAAUAGAUACUUGGUCAAAUGUACUUGUUGAUCUUUCGGAAACUAAUGUUUCACUCCCCGAAGCAGUAAACUUCAUUCCCCCACUUCAGGACAAAAGUGUCCAUUUGUCUAACUUGAAGAAACAUAUUCAGCAGAUUCGAGUACGAAAUGCUCAGCAUAAUAAAACUGUCGUUAUCCCCGCCAUCUCGGUCACAACGUGUAUUGUGGUUGCGUUAGUGCUAUUUACUGUUCUAUACGUCCGAUGUCAUGUGUUUAAACCCAUUAUGAUCCGACCCCAGAAAGUAUCCGCUCAAAAUCCUGCCCGUCAGUGUCAGAAAAGUGGCCCGUUUCUAAGUUUUCUUGAACUCGGAAGAUUUGUUCUGCGAAAAGUCUUGACUAAAGAAAAGCAAUUUUUGUUCUGUGAGCAAACGUUCCCUAAACCGAUGAUUUUUGUGCAACAAAGUACCUCUACCCAUCUAUGUCAGCAUUAUCAGGCUUGAUGGAGCAUUUCACAAUGGGUCACUUAAUAAAAACCCAACUGCCUACCCAUUUUGACUGAUUUUUCUUCUUCAGCAGAUUGUCAUCUCUCUCCAGUCUCCAUGGCUACUGAAUGAAGACCUGGACUCCUGAAUAGAAUGCAGUACAAACUACUGACCUACUCCCAAGAACCAGCACCGCCUGCUACUCUUGGUUCACCAGCUGACAGCUGUUGGCAAAACUUU